Molecule: ribosomal RNA, 253 nt
Filed under: uncultured Sphingosinicella sp.
Lineage: Bacteria; Pseudomonadati; Pseudomonadota; Alphaproteobacteria; Sphingomonadales; Sphingosinicellaceae
Description: partial 16S ribosomal RNA
Rfam family: Bacterial small subunit ribosomal RNA
Source: RNAcentral
UACGGAGGGAGCUAGCGUUGUUCGGAAUUACCGGGCGUAAAGCGCGCGUAGGCGGCUUUGUAAGUUAGAGGUGAAAGCCCGGAGCUCAACUCCGGAACUGCCUUUAAAACUGCAUCGCUUGAAUCCAGGAGAGGUGAGUGGAAUUCCGAGUGUAGAGGUGAAAUUGGUAGAUAUCGGGAAGAACACCGGUGGCGAAGGCGGCUAUCUGGCCCGUAAUUGACACUGAGGCGCGAAAGCGUGGGGAGCAAACAGG